UGACUGGGGCGGUCUCCUCCUAAAGAGUAACGGAGGAGCACGAAGGUUGGCUAAUCCUGGUCGGACAUCAGGAGGUUAGUGCAAUGGCAUAAGCCAGCUUGACUGCGAGCGUGACGGCGCGAGCAGGUGCGAAAGCAGGUCAUAGUGAUCCGGUGGUUCUGAAUGGAAGGGCCAUCGCUCAACGGAUAAAAGGUACUCCGGGGAUAACAGGCUGAUACCGCCCAAGAGUUCAUAUCGACGGCGGUGUUUGGCACCUCGAUGUCGGCUCAUCACAUCCUGGGGCUGAAGUAGGUCCCAAGGGUAUGGCUGUUCGCCAUUUAAAGUGGUACGCGAGCUGGGUUUAGAACGUCGUGAGACAGUUCGGUCCCUAUCUGCCGUGGGCGCUGGAGAACUGAGGGGGGCUGCUCCUAGUACGAGAGGACCGGAGUGGACGCAUCACUGGUGUUCGGGUUGUCAUGCCAAUGGCACUGCCCGGUAGCUAAAUGCGGAAGAGAUAAGUGCUGAAAGCAUCUAAGCACGAAACUUGCCCCGAGAUGAGUUCUCCCUGAGACUUAGAGUCUCCUGAAGGAACGUUGAAGACGACGACGUUGAUAGGCCGGGUGUGUAAGCGCAGCGAUGCGUUGAGCUAACCGGUACUAAUGAACCGUGAGGCUUAACCUUACAACGCCAAAG
RNAcentral lists this ribosomal RNA (672 nucleotides) under Salmonella enterica subsp. enterica serovar Senftenberg. RNAcentral's name for it is "partial 23S ribosomal RNA". It matches the Rfam family "Bacterial large subunit ribosomal RNA", at positions 2270 to 2925 of the family's 2925-position model. RNAcentral also lists the same sequence under 2 other names. Lineage: Bacteria; Pseudomonadati; Pseudomonadota; Gammaproteobacteria; Enterobacterales; Enterobacteriaceae. The record is from RNAcentral.